This 246-nucleotide ribosomal RNA is filed under the name uncultured bacterium. RNAcentral describes it as "partial 16S ribosomal RNA". It matches the Rfam family "Bacterial small subunit ribosomal RNA", at positions 524 to 771 of the family's 1533-position model. The record is from RNAcentral.
UACGAAGGGGGCUAGCGUUGUUCGGAAUCACUGGGCGUAAAGGGCGCGUAGGCGUGCGGUAAGUCACCUGUGAAACCUCUAGGCUCAACCUAGAGCCUGCAGGCGAAACUGCCGUGCUUGAGGGUGGGAGAGGUGCGUGGAAUUCCCGGUGUAGCGGUGAAAUGCGUAGAUAUCGGAGGAACACCUGUGGCGAAGGCGGUUCGUCUGGGCCUUACCUGACGCUGAGGAGCGAAAGCGUGGGAGCAA